AGCAGCCGCGGUAAUUCCAGCUCCAAUAGCGUAUAUUAAAGUUGUUGCAGUUAAAAAGCUCGUAGUUGAAUUUUGGGUUUGGCCGAUUGGUCCGUUCUUGUAACGAGUACUGGUCGGUUGGGCCUCACCGCUUGGUGAUGCGGAAUGUCCUUUAUUGGGUGUUGCGAGUAGCCAAGACCUUUACCUUGAAAAAUUAGAGUGUUUAAAGCAGGCUUAUGCCAGAAUACAUUAGCAUGGAAUAAUAGAAUAGGACGAUUUAUCUAUUUUGUUGGUUUCUAGGAAAAUCGUAAUGAUUAAUAGGGAUAGUUGGGGGCAUUAGUAUUCAAUUGUCAGAGGUGAAAUUCUUGGAUUUAUUGAAGACUAACUACUGCGAAAGCAUUUGCCAAGGAUGUUUUCAUCAAUCAAGAACGAAAGUUAGGGGAUCGAAGACGAUCAGAUACCGUCGUAGUC
RNAcentral lists this ribosomal RNA (450 nucleotides) under uncultured Archaeospora. RNAcentral's name for it is "SSU rRNA". It matches the Rfam family "Eukaryotic small subunit ribosomal RNA", at positions 569 to 1025 of the family's 1831-position model. The record is from RNAcentral. Lineage: Eukaryota; Fungi; Glomeromycota; Glomeromycetes; Archaeosporales; Archaeosporaceae.